This 253-nucleotide ribosomal RNA is filed under the name uncultured bacterium. RNAcentral describes it as "partial 16S ribosomal RNA". It matches the Rfam family "Bacterial small subunit ribosomal RNA", at positions 524 to 776 of the family's 1533-position model. The record is from RNAcentral.
UACAGAGGUGGCAAGCGUUGUUCGGAAUUACUGGGCGUAAAGGGCGCGUAGGCGGCCUGCUAAGUCGAACGUGAAAUCCCUGGGCUCAACCCAGGAACUGCGUCCGAUACUGGUUGGCUUGAAUCCGGGAGAGGGAUGUGGAAUUCCAGGUGUAGCGGUGAAAUGCGUAGAUAUCUGGAGGAACACCGGUGGCGAAGGCGACAUCCUGGACCGGCGUUGACGCUGAGGCGCGAAAGCCAGGGGAGCAAACGGG